Molecule: long non-coding RNA, 365 nt
Filed under: Rattus norvegicus (Norway rat)
Lineage: Eukaryota; Metazoa; Chordata; Mammalia; Rodentia; Muridae
Description: long non-coding RNA NONRATT014973
Source: RNAcentral
AACACCUCACUGCCUGCCAAAUUGCCAGAGCUAUUAGAGUGUGAUUAGAUUGCUUGGCUCUGAGCGUUAGCUAAUCCUAUGCAGCUGGGCUUGCUCUGGACCUGAGAUGGCUCUGGACAUCAGCUGCUUCCUUUUAGUGGCUCUCUUCUCAGCCAGCUGCCAAGCCAUCGGAUCCUCAGAUCAGAGGUGCACUGAGAAAGAAGUCAACAAAACAUACAACUGUGAACAUUUAGGUCUCAGUGAAAUUCCUGGCACUCUACCAAACUCAACAGAAUCUUUGGAGUUCAGCUUUAAUGCCUUGCCUACGAUUCAAAAGACGACUUUCAGCAGACUCGUAAAUCUCACCUUCCUGGAUUUAACCAGGU